This 237-nucleotide ribosomal RNA is filed under the name uncultured eukaryote. Its description in RNAcentral is "partial 18S ribosomal RNA". It matches the Rfam family "Eukaryotic small subunit ribosomal RNA", at positions 629 to 868 of the family's 1831-position model. The record is from RNAcentral.
CGUAGUUGGAUUUCUGAUUGGGACUACCGGUCCACGGCCUCUGGUCGUGUGUACUAGUGGGUUCUAGUCUUCCUUAUGGGGAACUUGUCUGGCAUUGGUUUGUCGGGCUUGGGAGCCAUAUCAUUUACUGUGAAAAAAUUAGAGUGUUUAAAGCAGGCACAUGCCUUGAAUACCUCAGCAUGGAAUAAUAAGAUAGGACUUUGGCCUAUUUUGUUGGUUUGCAAGCCAGGGUAAUGA